AGAGCCACAAGGAAUACACCUUCGUCAUCGACGUCCCCGGUCUGUCCAAGUCCGACAUCCAAGUACGUAUUCUUCUACUCGUCCGCCACGAUUUGAUCCAGCUGCGGGGUGGCGAUUUCUUUGACGACGCGCGUGGGUGCAGGUGACCCUGGAGGACGAGAAGAUUCUGGUGAUCAAGAGCAGCGGGAAGAGGAAGAGGGACGACGGGGAGGAGGAAGGGUGCCGGUACCUGCUGCUGGAGAGGAGCGCGCCCGUCAAGUUUUUGAGGAAAUUCCGGCUGCCGGAAGACGCCAGCUCCUCGGGCAUCACAGCCAAGUGCGAGAACGGCGUGCUCACCGUCGUCGUGGGGAAGAUUCCGCCGCCCGAGCCCAAGACGAG
RNAcentral lists this long non-coding RNA (378 nucleotides) under Musa acuminata (dwarf banana). RNAcentral describes it as "long non-coding RNA (MACU_LNC004769)". Lineage: Eukaryota; Viridiplantae; Streptophyta; Magnoliopsida; Zingiberales; Musaceae. The record is from RNAcentral.